RNAcentral lists this ribosomal RNA (402 nucleotides) under uncultured bacterium. RNAcentral's name for it is "bacterial SSU rRNA". It matches the Rfam family "Bacterial small subunit ribosomal RNA", at positions 355 to 774 of the family's 1533-position model. The record is from RNAcentral.
UGGGGAAUAUUGGACAAUGGGCGAAAGCCUGAUCCAGCCAUGCCGCGUGAGUGAAGAAGGCCUUAGGGUUGUAAAGCUCUUUUGGCGGGGACGAUAAUGACGGUACCCGCAGAAUAAGCUCCGGCUAACUUCGUGCCAGCAGCCGCGGUAAUACGAAGGGAGCUAGCGUUGUUCGGAAUCACUGGGCGUAAAGCGCACGUAGGCGGAUUGUUAAGUCAGGGGUGAAAUCCCGGGGCUCAACCUCGGAACUGCCUUUGAUACUGGCAAUCUCGAGUCCGGAAGAGGUGAGUGGAAUUCCUAGUGUAGAGGUGAAAUUCGUAGAUAUUAGGAAGAACACCAGUGGCGAAGGCGGCUCACUGGUCCGGUACUGACGCUGAGGUGCGAAAGCGUGGGGAGCAAACA